Molecule: ribosomal RNA, 253 nt
Filed under: uncultured bacterium
Lineage: Bacteria
Description: partial 16S ribosomal RNA
Rfam family: Bacterial small subunit ribosomal RNA
Source: RNAcentral
UACAGGGGGGGCAAGCGUUGUUCGGAAUUACUGGGCGUAAAGGGCCAGUAGGCGGCCAACUAAGUCACACGUGAAAUCCCCAGGCUUAACCUGGGAACUGCGUGUGAUACUGGAUGGCUUGAAUUCGGGAGAGGGAUGCAGAAUUCCAGGUGUAGCGGUGAAAUGCGCAGAUAUCAGGAGGAACACCGGUGGCGAAGGCGGUGGUCUGGGCCGGCACUGACGCUGAGGAGCGAAAGCGUGGGGAGCAAACAGG